Molecule: RNase MRP RNA, 588 nt
Filed under: Tremella mesenterica DSM 1558
Lineage: Eukaryota; Fungi; Basidiomycota; Tremellomycetes; Tremellales; Tremellaceae
Description: RNase MRP
Rfam family: RNase MRP
About the family: RNase MRP is an enzymatically active ribonucleoprotein with two distinct roles in eukaryotes. In mitochondria it plays a direct role in the initiation of mitochondrial DNA replication.
Source: Rfam by way of RNAcentral
ACCAAGUCACAAGAAUCGUCAUCACGGUCCACCCACUUUCCAUCGUCAUCUUCUAUCAUACCUGUUGGUUGAAUCGACGUACGGAUACACUAUCUUACCGUGGGGAAAGUCCCCGGAGCUUACUUUUUCUCUUCUCUUCCCCCUUUCUUGAUCGUAGGUCGAACAGUAAAGGAAAGCGCUUGAAAUCAAGUAUCUCUAGUCACAAAUCUGUUCUUCUUCUCAUCUUCUCCUCUUUUCCAUUCACUUGGAUCUGGAGAACAAGAUGACUUGACAAAUCUUAAAGAUGAAAUUCGAUCGACGGUUCUCAUCCGGAUCGAACAUGAUCCCUUGAAAAGAUCUUGUCGAGGACCUACGAUCCCAUGAUUCAUCUCUCGCCUUUCCUUUUCUCUUCAUUGGCGAAGAUACGAGUUGUGAUAUAUGAAGAGGAUCGGUAUGGGAGAUGUAUCUUUGGUCAAAAGAGGGGGAAUAGGUAAAAAAGAGAAAAUUGAGAAUGGCUCAUAGAUUAUAGUCAUGCGAUUGCCUGGUAACAUUUCGAAUCGAUAGAUUCAAGAUGGAAGGUAACUCGAUGGGGCUUACUCUGUCACUUGG